UACUUAGGGUGCAAGCGUUAAUCGGAAUUACUGGGCGUAAAGCGUGCGCAGGCGGUUAUGUAAGACAGGUGUGAAAUCCCCGGGCUUAACCUGGGAACUGCAUUUGUGACUGCAUAGCUAGAGUACGGUAGAGGGGGAUGGAAUUCCGCGUGUAGCAGUGAAAUGCGUAGAUAUGCGGAGGAACACCGAUGGCGAAGGCAAUCCCCUGGACCUGUACUGACGCUCAUGCACGAAAGCGUGGGGAGCAAACAGG
RNAcentral lists this ribosomal RNA (253 nucleotides) under uncultured bacterium. RNAcentral's name for it is "partial 16S ribosomal RNA". It matches the Rfam family "Bacterial small subunit ribosomal RNA", at positions 524 to 776 of the family's 1533-position model. The record is from RNAcentral.